AAUUGUUUCCUCCAGCACUUCUUCCUAAGCUCUUGGGUAUACGUACCCACAGGAGUUUGGGACUCUUGGUAGGAGCAGAGAAGCUCUCAUGCUAUAAUCCCCUGCAGAGCAGAAGCCACCAUCUGUGGGAAUCAUCACAAGGGGAAACAGGCUCGUGCAUGUUCUGAAAUGAGACAUGGUGAAGCAGAGUUUGGGCCGGUAGUGCCAGCCCAGGGUCAGAGCAGACAGGUCUCUCCAGUCACACGGUAGGCUCAGGAUGGCUGCAGGAUCUUCCCUGGGUGCCACUAGGAGAGCCCUGUGCGUCUGGGUCGUGACUGCCGGAGGCAAACCAACAACAGGCCUGGACCUGCUUGUGUGCCUGGCUCUGAGGCAACGGCAGCGCCUCUAAACGUGCACAUGCCCGUCUGGGAGGCAGAGCCCACGGAGCAGGUGAGCCGGUGUGCAGGCCCAUGACCCUGGGCACCCAGGGUGCAAAUGGCAGCUCGUAGGCUCUACUUAACAACUUCCAAGAAGCAGCAGCAUUUGCCUUUAGAACACCAACAUGAAGAUGUUUAAAACAAAAUUAAACCGAGUCCUAGGCACCCUGUGUGUAUUUGCUCCUGAGAGAAUAUCCUUGGAUUUCUUUAUGAUUUGAGGACCUUAUGAGAAAAGCACUAUAAAAUGUAAAAUAAUACUGUGUUAAUGUCUUAUAAAAACAAAAAAAAACUUAUUAAAAAUGUGAAUCUA
Manis pentadactyla (Chinese pangolin) is the source of this 726-nucleotide long non-coding RNA. RefSeq lists it as uncharacterized. Lineage: Eukaryota; Metazoa; Chordata; Mammalia; Pholidota; Manidae. The record is from RefSeq and is a predicted model, not a curated record. The transcript has 2 exons.